This 369-nucleotide ribosomal RNA is filed under the name uncultured organism. RNAcentral describes it as "bacterial SSU rRNA". It matches the Rfam family "Bacterial small subunit ribosomal RNA", at positions 526 to 896 of the family's 1533-position model. The record is from RNAcentral.
CGUAUGGGGCGAGCGUUGUUCGGAAUUAUUGGGCGUAAAGGGUAUGCAGGCGGUUUCGUAAGUCUGGUGUGCAAGACCACAGCUUAACUGGGGGAACGCAUUGGAAACUGCGAGGCUUGAGUACAGGAGGGGGAGCUGGAAUUCCAGGUGUAGGGGUGAAAUCUGUAGAUAUCUGGAAGAACAUCAGUGGCGAAGGCGAGCUUCUGGCCAUGUACUGACGCUGAGAUACGAAAGCGUGGGGAGCGAACAGGAUUAGAUACCCUGGUAGUCCACGCUGUAAACGAUGUGCACUAGGUGUUGGGGCUUUUGGUCUCAGUGCCGUAGCAAACGCGAUAAGUGCACCGCCUGGGGAGUAUGCUCGCAAGAGUG